AUGAGUUUUUAUGGUCUUUGUUGGUUUUUGAUUGACAAAGUUACCUAAAACUUCAUCCUAUGUUUACAUACAUUGUAUACUUUGGCAAGACGCUUUGACUUGUAGUUGGAGUUUGACACUAGUCAAGCGACGCCACAAGAAAAAGCCACUGACAAUUCUUUAUAGAGCUGUGAGUGUGUUUGCUUGCCAAAGGUUUCAACUCUUUUUAUUUGCAGUCUGAGUAAACAAAAAAUAAAUUA
Molecule: unclassified non-coding RNA, 239 nt
Filed under: uncultured fungus
Lineage: Eukaryota; Fungi
Description: sequence contains ITS1, 5.8S rRNA gene
Source: RNAcentral